AGUUCAUCUUCUCAGAAUGAGGCUCCCUGCUCAGCUCCUGGGGCUGCUAAUGCUCUGGGUCCCUGCCUCCAGUGGAGACAUUGUGAUGACCCAGACUCCACUCUCCCUGCCCGUCACCCCUGGACAGCCGGCCUCCAUCUCCUGCAGGUCUAGUCAGAGCCUCCUGCAUAGUAAUGGAUACACCUAUUUGGAUUGGUACCUGCAGAAGCCAGGCCAGUCUCCACAGCUCCUGAUCUAUACGCUUUCCUAUCGGGCCUCUGGAGUCCCAGACAGGUUCAGUGGCAGUGGGUCAGGCACUGAUUUCACACUGAAAAUCAGCAGGGUGGAGGCUGAGGAUGUUGGGGUUUAUUACUGCAUGCAAGCUCUACAAACUCCUCCCACAGUGCUACAUCCUCGAACAGAAACCUCCCUGCUGGGUUGGCCCAGCUGCCCGCAUGUGCUGCUUGUCCUGGGGAGCAGCUGAGCAGAGUCUCUGAGUCUGCAGAAGAGAAGGCUGUUGGAGACGUCAGGGCGGCGUUUGCUGCUGAGGAUGCUGCUCCAUGAGAGCCUCAGCAGCACCUCAGAUCCCAUAUGUUAAGGCCCCACCAGCUGCCACAGCCUGGGGAAGGUAUCAGGAGGAGGAGAAUUCAUGGGGGCCACAUGCCCUGGGAGCAACCGGCUAUGAUGAAGGGAGAGUGAGUGAAAACUCACAUCCUCACCCUCCCUGUCUUGCCCACAUUUGUCAAGUUCAUGCAACUGUCAGAAUAACCAGACCGUGGAUGCAGUUUAGUGACAACACAAGUAGAACGCAUACGGGAAAUGACCAGCUUGGGGUUUAUUUCACACACGAUGACAGUCAUAUUGGGAAAUUCAUAGUCUCCCGUCUCCCUAAUUCUGCUCUCCAACUUGCACUAAACCCGCCUCUCCAGUGUCUCACAGGAGAAAGCAUUCUACACAAGUUGUCUGUUUAGCCAUAGGGAACUAUGGCUAAGGACGCUGAGUAAAAAUGUUUGAUGUUGGAUUAUUCAAAUAGACUUUGUAAACUCGUGGCAGGUAUGACAUCCAAUGUCAAAAAUUGAUUACUCUUAAUUACUAUUUGGCAAGUGAAAAGCAAAUUUUCACAAUUCCAAAACUGUCCUUUAGAAAUAACUGCAUAAAGUCAAAGAUAAAAAAUAUAAAGUUUAUUUCAAGUACAAAGGAAACAUUCAGAAUUAUGUGAGAUUUUUAUUUCUCUUCCAAAUUCUAAAAGUUUUGAAGGUACUUAGGCUAAAUUCUACUUUAGAAUAGAAAUUUAAUACUGUGUUUUCAUAAGAAAAGAUUUCAAAGAAUACAAAAAUGCAUUCUUUUCACGUGAUUACAUCA
Non-coding RNA from Gorilla gorilla gorilla (western lowland gorilla), 1341 nucleotides. Lineage: Eukaryota; Metazoa; Chordata; Mammalia; Primates; Hominidae. The record is from the annotation of a RefSeq genome assembly.